UACGGAGGGUGCAAGCGUUGUUCGGAAUAACUGGGCGUAAAGAGCACGUAGGCGGACCUGUAAGUCGAUUGUGAAAUCCCCGGGCUUAACCUGGGAAUUGCAGUCGAAACUGCAAGUCUUGAAUGUCUAAGAGGGCAAUGGAAUUCCUGGUGUAGAAGUGAAAUUCGUAGAUAUCAGGAGGAACACCGGAGGCGAAGGCGAUUGCCUGGUGGUGCAUUGACGCUGAGGUGCGAAAGCGUGGGGAGCAAACAGG
RNAcentral lists this ribosomal RNA (253 nucleotides) under uncultured bacterium. Its description in RNAcentral is "partial 16S ribosomal RNA". It matches the Rfam family "Bacterial small subunit ribosomal RNA", at positions 524 to 776 of the family's 1533-position model. The record is from RNAcentral.